RNAcentral lists this microRNA (22 nucleotides) under Alligator mississippiensis (American alligator). Its description in RNAcentral is "Ami-Mir-34-P3c_3p* (star (passenger))". The record is from RNAcentral. Lineage: Eukaryota; Metazoa; Chordata; Crocodylia; Alligatoridae.
CAGCUAACAUGCAGCUGCUAUC